ACGCUCGACACCUACGGGGGCAGCAGUGGGGAAUAUUGCACAAUGGGGGAAACCCUGAUGCAGCGACGCCGCGUGAGUGAAGAAGUAUUUCGGUAUGUAAAGCUCUAUCAGCAGGGAAGAAAAUGACGGUACCUGACUAAGAAGCCCCGGCUAACUACGUGUCAGCAGCCGCGGUAAUCUGAGCGGGCUGGCAAGGC
This 197-nucleotide ribosomal RNA is filed under the name uncultured bacterium. Its description in RNAcentral is "partial 16S ribosomal RNA". It matches the Rfam family "Bacterial small subunit ribosomal RNA", at positions 328 to 539 of the family's 1533-position model. The record is from RNAcentral.